AUAGAGGAUCUUCGCUGGAGGGUGUGGCAGCUGGCUGCAGUUCUCACAGCUGGGUGCAAAUUCCAGAGCCAGGGUUCGCCUGAUGGUCAGCCUUACCGGUAGAGUCAACUCUUACGUACUCAGCCCCCACCUGCAUGCCUGCUCUCCAACCCUUCUAUCUAAAUAUCACCGCUCAACCAGCUCCCUUCACACUUGAACUCAUCUUUAUAGAAAAACAAUUUGCCUUUCUGGUCAUUACCAGGAUCACAAGCUCUCCUCAGAAUAAUCCUUCGACAACAAACAAUGCUGCAGAAGCCGUUAGUGAAGUCUUCCUAGUGCACCUUUUUUCAUUGCUGCUGCUUGUAAAUAAACCAUAUUUUAAGUUUAAUUUGGUCUUAGUUUGAUUUUGCAUGUGAUUUAGGAAGUGUCCUAGAAACA
Long non-coding RNA from Girardinichthys multiradiatus, 417 nucleotides. RefSeq lists it as uncharacterized. NCBI's taxonomy places the organism in Eukaryota, Metazoa, Chordata, Actinopteri, Cyprinodontiformes, Goodeidae. The transcript is spliced from 3 exons. The record is from RefSeq and is a predicted model, not a curated record.